RNAcentral lists this ribosomal RNA (395 nucleotides) under uncultured bacterium. RNAcentral describes it as "partial 16S ribosomal RNA". It matches the Rfam family "Bacterial small subunit ribosomal RNA", at positions 338 to 730 of the family's 1533-position model. The record is from RNAcentral.
CCUACGGGUGGCAGCAGUGAGGAAUAUUGGUCAAUGGGCGUAAGCCUGAACCAGCCAAGUCGCGUGAGGGAUGAAGGUUCUAUGGAUCGUAAACCUCUUUUGUCAGGGAAUAAAGUCCGGGACGUGUCCCGGUUUGUAUGUACCUUAUGAAUAAGCAUCGGCUAACUCCGUGCCAGCAGCCGCGGUAAUACGGAGGAUCCGAGCGUUAUCCGGAUUUCUUGGGUUUAAAGGGUGCGUAGGCGGCCUUUUAAGUCAGCGGUGAAAGGCCGGGGGGCAACCAUAGACUUGCUGUUGAAACUGGCAGGCUUGAGUAGGAGAGAGGCAGGCGGAAUGCGUGGUGUAGCGGUGAAAUGCUUAGAUAUCGCGCAGAACCCCGAUUGCGAAGGCAGCAUGCC